This 253-nucleotide ribosomal RNA is filed under the name uncultured bacterium. RNAcentral describes it as "partial 16S ribosomal RNA". It matches the Rfam family "Bacterial small subunit ribosomal RNA", at positions 524 to 776 of the family's 1533-position model. The record is from RNAcentral.
UACGUAGGGGGCAAGCGUUAUCCGGAUUUACUGGGUGUAAAGGGAGCGUAGACGGCGAUGCAAGCCAGAUGUGAAAGCCUGGGGCUCAACCCCGGGACUGCAUUUGGAACUGUGUGGCUGGAGUGUCGGAGAGGCAAGUGGAAUUCCUAGUGUAGCGGUGAAAUGCGUAGAUAUUAGGAGGAACACCAGUGGCGAAGGCGGCUUGCUGGACGAUGACUGACGUUGAGGCUCGAAAGCGUGGGGAGCAAACAGG